AGCGGCUGCAACGCCGAGCGGAGGAGGCAGGAACCCGAAGGCAAGCAGGAGCUGGGUGGGGACCAUGGCCGGGAUCACCACCAUCGAGGCGGUGAAGCGCAAGAUCCAGGUUCUGCAGCAGCAGGCCGAUGAUGCAGAGGAGAGGGCCGAGCGCCUCCAGCGGGAAGUGGAGGGGGAAAGGCGGGCCCGAGAACAGGCUGAGGCUGAGGUGGCCUCCUUGAACCGUAGGAUCCAGCUGGUUGAAGAGGAGCUGGACCGAGCUCAAGAGCGCCUGGCCACUGCCCUGCAAAAGCUGGAGGAAGCUAAGAAAGCUGCUGAUGAGAGCGAGAGAGGUAUGAAGGUUAUUGAAAACCGAGCCUUAAAAGAUGAAGAAAAAAUGGAACUCCAGGAAAUCCAACUCAAAGAAGCUAAGCACAUUGCAGAAGAGGCAGACAGGAAGUAUGAAGAGGUGGCUCGUAAGUUGGUGAUUAUUGAGGGAGACUUGGAACGCACAGAGGAGCGGGCCGAGCUGGCAGAGUCCCGUUGCCGAGAGAUGGAUGAGCAAAUCAGACUGAUGGACCAGAACCUGAAGUGUCUGAGUGCUGCUGAAGAAAAGUAAUCUCAAAAAGAAGACAAAUAUGAGGAAGAGAUAAAGAUUCUUACCGAUAAACUCAAGGAGGCAGAGACACGUGCUGAGUUUGCUGAGAGAUCGGUAGCCAAGCUGGAAAAGACAAUUGAUGAUUUGGAAGAUAAACUGAAAUGCACCAAAGAGGAUCACCUCUGUACACAAAGGAUGCUGGACCAGACUCUGCUUGACCUGAAUGAGAUGUAGAACACCCCAGUCCCGCCCUGCCGCUGCUCCUCCU
This is an RNA transcript of Cervus elaphus (red deer), 845 nucleotides long. It is a transcript of the gene named tropomyosin alpha-3 chain-like, with no coding region annotated. The record is from RefSeq and is a predicted model, not a curated record. The transcript has a single exon. Lineage: Eukaryota; Metazoa; Chordata; Mammalia; Artiodactyla; Cervidae.